GCCGAAGUGGCGGAAUUGGUAGACGCAGCGGAUUCAAAAUCCGCCGAUGAAUAAUCGUGAGAGUUCGAGUCUCUCCUUCGGCACCA
This 86-nucleotide transfer RNA is filed under the name Gammaproteobacteria bacterium. RNAcentral describes it as "tRNA-Leu". It matches the Rfam family "tRNA". From Rfam's summary of the family: Transfer RNA (tRNA) molecules are approximately 80 nucleotides in length. Their secondary structure includes four short double-helical elements and three loops (D, anti-codon, and T loops). Lineage: Bacteria; Pseudomonadati; Pseudomonadota; Gammaproteobacteria. The record is from RNAcentral.